UACAGAGGGUGCAAGCGUUAAUCGGAGUUACUGGGCGUAAAGGGCGCGUAGGCGGUUAUUUAAGUUGGAUGUGAAAUCCCUGGGCUUAACCUAGGAACUGCAUUCGAAACUGGGUAACUGGAGUACUGUAGAGGGUAGUGGAAUUUCCGGUGUAGCGGUGAAAUGCGUAGAGAUCGGAAGGAACACCAGUGGCGAAGGCGGCUACCUGGACAGAUACUGACGCUGAGGCGCGAGAGCGUGGGGAGAAAACAGG
Molecule: ribosomal RNA, 253 nt
Filed under: uncultured bacterium
Lineage: Bacteria
Description: partial 16S ribosomal RNA
Rfam family: Bacterial small subunit ribosomal RNA
Source: RNAcentral